RNAcentral lists this ribosomal RNA (2304 nucleotides) under Triticum aestivum (bread wheat). Its description in RNAcentral is "partial small subunit ribosomal RNA". Lineage: Eukaryota; Viridiplantae; Streptophyta; Magnoliopsida; Poales; Poaceae. The record is from RNAcentral.
AUGGCCGCCACGCCGGACGAGUUCCUGCGGGCGGGGGACGCGGAGCCCUUCUCCCCGUCGCUCUUCCUCGACCUGCCGCCAACGCCGUCGCCCCCGCGCGCCCCCGCCUCAGACGACCUCGACUUCAUCUCGCGCAUGCUCAUGGAAGAGGACAUCGACGACAAGUUCUUCUACCAAUACCCCGACCACCCCGCCAUCCUCUCCGCGCAGCACCACUUCGCCCAGAUAAUCUCCGACUCCAACACCGACGACUCCGCCAACACCGCCGUCGCCAGCUCCACCUUCUCCUCCGACUCUGCCACCGCCAGAUCGGCCUCCUCCUGCUCCGACUCUGCCACAAACACCGGCAAAUCGACCUCCUCCUCCCACUCCGCCACCAACACCGCCCACUCCACCUCCUGUUCCUCCUCACCCGGCGCCUUCGGCCCCGCCAAUCCCACCUGGCCUUACGAGCGAAUCGAUCUCUCCCAGCCCCUCCACUCCCCCCCAUACAUCGGCCUGGGCUUCCCCGUCGACGGUGCCAACAACCUCCUCUUUUCCGGCGUCGGCACGCCCACCUCGGGAUAUUUCGGGCACACUCCGGCGCUCUCCAGGGGCAACAACGACCAUUUCGUCGCCCCCGCUGGCCAGAACGGCCGCAGCACGGGCAUUCAGAGCUUUGCGACCUUCGCGAAUAGUAGCGCCGCCAAGGACGCCAAGACCUUGUCGAACAAUGGCACGGAGAAGGCGGCCAAGCCGGCUACUCAGCCGGCUUGCCGAGGUGGCCCAGGCACCCCGGCUUCGGCCUUCUUCAAUGGCCAGACUAACGGUGACGUGGACAUGCUCAACAUGGCGUUUCGCAAGGGCAUGGAGGAGGCCAACAAGUUCUUGCCCACCAACAACACCCUCGACGCCAUUUCCAACAGGCCGGUACCGCGCGACUUCACCGGUGACCAAUUGAAGAAGGAGGAGGUGGAUAGACUCAGAAUGUUGAUGUUCAGUAAUGGCCGGGGGCGCAAGAACAGGCAUGGCGUGGAAGACUUGGAGGCGGAGGCUGGCAGGAGAUGCAAGCUGAUGAUGCCGGAACAGGAGGAAACUGGGGUAGGCGAGAUGGUCGAGGAAAUAAUGCUUCACGGCCACGACAUCAUCAUGAAGGGGAUAGAGGAUCUGCACAUAGCAAUGGGCACCGAGGCCGAGAAGAACCACAGGAAGGGCACCGGCAAGGCAGCGCGGGGGAGGCGGGGUGCAAGCGAGGUCGACCUCCGCACCAUGCUCAUCCACUGUGCGCAGGCGGUGGCCACGGGCGAUCACCGGGGAUCGAACGAGCUACUCAGGCAGAUUAAGCAACACUCAUCGCCUAAGGGGGAUGCCACACAGAGGCUGGCGUAUUGUUUCGCCGAGGGACUGGAAGCGCGCCUUGCAGGCACGGGCAGCCAUGUGUAUCGGUCGCUUGUGGCGAAGAGCACCUCGGUCGGAGAGUUCCUCAGGGCCUACAAGCUCUACAUGGCAGCCAGCAGUUUCAAGAAGUGGCCAGGUUUGCUACAGAUGCUAGCGGAAAGGGAAGGCGGGCCACCGGAGGUGAGGAUCACUGGCAUUGACGUCCCUCAGCCUGGGUUCCGCCCAGCCUUCCAGAUUGAGGAGACAGGCCGUCGGCUCAGCAAAUGUGCCCAAGAGUUUGGCGUGCCAUUCAAGUACCAUGGUAUACCCGCAAAGUUGGAGACAGUCCAUGCGGAGGACCUAAAAAUCGACCCAUAUGAGGUGCUCAUCGUCACCAGCCAGUAUGGUUUCAGCAACUUGAUGGAUGAAAGUGUUAUCAUGGACAGGCAGGACAUCCCGAGCCCUAGAGACAUGGUCCUUACCAACAUUCGCAAGAUGCGGCCUGAUGUGUUCAUUGACUGCGUUGUGAAUGGAACCUAUAGCGCGCCUUUCUUCGUGACACGAUUCCGGGAGGCGCUCUUCACCUAUUCGGCGCAAUUCGACAUGCUGGAUGCGACCAUCCCCCGUGACAAUGAUGACCGGCUGCUCAUCGAGCGGGAUAUCUUCGGCCCGUGUGCCCUGAAUGUCAUUGCCUGCGAGGGUGCAGAUCGGGUGGAUCGGCCCGAGACUUAUAAGCAAUGGCAGGUGCGGGGCCACCGGGCUGGGCUGAGGCAGGUGCCAUUGAGUCCGGCUGUUGUUAAGCUUGUGAAGGAUAAGGUUAAGAGCCUCUACCACAAGGACUUUCUCAUCGACGUGGAUAACCGUUGGUUGCUGCAGGGGUGGAAAGGGCGGGUACUCUAUGCCAUGUCGACAUGGGUAGCUGGUGACCAUGAUAACUCCAAAUUUUAG